Molecule: long non-coding RNA, 655 nt
Organism: Onychostoma macrolepis
Lineage: Eukaryota; Metazoa; Chordata; Actinopteri; Cypriniformes; Cyprinidae
Exons: 4
Source: RefSeq, a predicted model, not a curated record
UUUCGACUUGCAGGGUCCUCCGUUGCUUUAAAUAGGAAACCCUAUUGAUGCGGAGCAUAAUGAGGACGGAAAACGGAGAAAUUAAGUGUUUAAUCUUAAUCACAAAAUGUGUUUUGUAAUAUCAUAUCGUUUUAUAGCGAUUUAUAAGGUGUGUGCGCUUAAACGUUUUUUAAAGACAUUUCUUCCACUCGCGAGGCAGACCAGACGAGGACGUUUCUUUUUAAAAGGGAAACGCCGAAAGUUAAGUGUUUUAUCUCAUUUGUAUGUAUUUCACAACAUCAUAUUGGUUUAUAGUGAUAUUUGUAUGAUGUGCACUCCUAAACUUUUCCUCAGGAAAUUGGUUUUAUCAAGGAAAACACCGAAAAUGCAUUUGAAUGGCUAUGCACUGAAGUGGAAGCCACUUUUAACAGGGGAAACAUAAGAAAUGGUUCAUGCUGGCUUAACAGAAAAAUCGAAAGGAGAUGAUGUGCUUGAAGAGUAUGAAGCCACCAAUACAUUAAGUGGGAUGAGAAGAGCUUUGUUAGGACACAUAACAGAGACAUGGGAGCUAAAUGUAAACAAAGAGGAGGGUCUACACAGAUCUGACACAAUCUAAUCAAUUCAGACUGCAGAAGAAACGAUUCAGUCUUCCAGUGAACACACUGCACUGCACAAU